Molecule: microRNA precursor, 81 nt
Filed under: Oryza sativa (Asian cultivated rice)
Lineage: Eukaryota; Viridiplantae; Streptophyta; Magnoliopsida; Poales; Poaceae
Description: miR2875 stem-loop (osa-MIR2875)
Source: miRBase by way of RNAcentral
UGAUCAAAUAUAUGAACUGUAGAUGACUGUAAAUAUACAAUUUACAGUCAUAUACAGUUUAUAUAUUUGAUCGUGUUUGUA